This 119-nucleotide ribosomal RNA is filed under the name Pteropus alecto (black flying fox). The record is from RNAcentral. Lineage: Eukaryota; Metazoa; Chordata; Mammalia; Chiroptera; Pteropodidae.
AUCUCCGGCCAUGCUACCCUGAACAAGCCCGAUCCUGUCUGACCUCGGAAGCUAAGCAGGGUCGGGGCAGGUUAGUAUUUGGAUGGGAGACCACCUAGGAAGAGCAGGUGCUGUAGAUG